RNAcentral lists this ribosomal RNA (253 nucleotides) under uncultured bacterium. RNAcentral's name for it is "partial 16S ribosomal RNA". It matches the Rfam family "Bacterial small subunit ribosomal RNA", at positions 524 to 776 of the family's 1533-position model. The record is from RNAcentral.
UACGGGGGGGGCAAGCGUUGUUCGGAAUUACUGGGCGUAAAGGGCUCGUAGGCGGCCAACUAAGUCAGACGUGAAAUCCCUCGGCUUAACCGGGGAACUGCGUCUGAUACUGGAUGGCUAGAGUUUGGGAGAGGGAUGCGGAAUUCCAGGUGUAGCGGUGAAAUGCGUAGAUAUCUGGAGGAACACCGGUGGCGAAGGCGGCAUCCUGGACCGGUACUGACGCUGAUGCGCGAAAGCGUGGGGAGCAAACAGG